RNAcentral lists this ribosomal RNA (472 nucleotides) under Rhizophagus intraradices. RNAcentral describes it as "eukaryotic LSU rRNA". It matches the Rfam family "Eukaryotic large subunit ribosomal RNA", at positions 288 to 629 of the family's 3401-position model. The record is from RNAcentral. Lineage: Eukaryota; Fungi; Glomeromycota; Glomeromycetes; Glomerales; Glomeraceae.
UAAAAUGGGAGGUAAAUUUCUCCUAUGGCUAAAUAACGGCGAGAGACCGAUAGCGAACAAGUACCGUGAGGGAAAGAUGAAAAGAACUAUGAAAAGAGAGUUAAACAGUACGUGAAAUUGUUGAAAGGGAAACGAUUGAAGCCAGUCGUACCUUCGGGUAAUCAGCCUUUUCGGGUGCGAUUCUGUGGGGUUUGAUGAGCUUAACACCUUCAUGCUCUGCAUAUUCGUGCUCUUGGGUGUACUUGCCCGUGUGGUUGGUUAACAUCAAUUUUGGUGGUCAUAAAAUGACUGGAGGAAUGUAGCUUCGAUCUUGUAUUGAAGUGUUAUAGCCUUCGGUAGAUGUGAUGAUCGAGAUUGAGGAUUGCAACGGAUACCCUUCGGGGCUACCUGUCUGAUCUCUGAUCGUUGCUCUGGUGCCGAAAGCUUGCUUACGGUUAUCAAAGUCGAUGGUCAAUAGGUUAGAAUGGGUUAA